This 69-nucleotide transfer RNA is filed under the name Ovis aries (sheep). It matches the Rfam family "tRNA". From Rfam's summary of the family: Transfer RNA (tRNA) molecules are approximately 80 nucleotides in length. Their secondary structure includes four short double-helical elements and three loops (D, anti-codon, and T loops). Lineage: Eukaryota; Metazoa; Chordata; Mammalia; Artiodactyla; Bovidae. The record is from Rfam by way of RNAcentral.
CCUGGUGGCUUAGAUGGUAAAGAAUCUGCCUAUCAUGCAGGAGACCCAGGUUCGGUCCCUGGGUCAGGA